AUUACCUCUCCGACUGUGACAGCGGAUUGCCGGCAAAGCUGAAGAUUAAUCCUAAAUAUAGCACAGAGAACUGAAAGCGACAUUAAGCAUUUCGCAUGCUUUGCAUUUCAUUAGCAAAGGCGAACACUUUGAUUCCAUAGCAUCAGGGACGCAUUAGGCGCCUUAAUGGACUUCGAACGAAUUACGCAUGUUUCUGCAAACUUCCGCUUGUUCAUGUCAAGUCAAGCUUAUCCGAACGUUGUUUCAUGCCCCUGCAGCAGUCACACGCACCUCGGUUAAUCUUAUUUUGCAAUCAGCAACUAACACAACCUGCCGAGAAGUGGAUAGAGUGCACCGCAUACGCAUUCAUUCAGCCCACACACCAGCUUGGCUGCACAAGAAACGCAACAUCAGCGGAAAUCGUGGAUCUCGCAACCAGUCCGUGGUAAAUCUCCUAUACUUGCCAGUGGCCGUCACAGACUUUUCUAGAGUCAUUGCCCUGUGGCCUGAUGAACCUUGGCGAGUACCUAGUCCUGGAGCACGUUAUACGGCAGAACACACCAUUCAUCGUCACUUAAGACGUGGUUUCCUGCGCUGAUCAAGAGCCCAGUUCCAGUUUUCGAGCGAAAAAGUGAGAAGCUGUCUCGUGCUGCAGAAGUUGGAACUUCUCGCGUGAUUUAAACAUUGAUAUGCGGUCACCUCGUCAGAAUAUAGAAUCACUGUCAGUAUCCGCGUAACUGCGCAAAUUAAUCGGUAUAAAUAUAGUUUAUUUCAGUCAUUAGCUAGAAUAUUAUAACACAUAACCUGUUUCCUGACCUCCGCCGUUCUCGAAAAUCUGAGUUCUGAAGUAUCGCAUUUUUAUCUUCGAUGGUCUAGUUUUUGUAAUUUUUAUCAGCCUUCGCAGGAACACCCAGUAGAUUCCGAAAUCGGCAAAAAGAUAUGCUUUCCAUAAAAAGCACAUCAUUGCCACUGAAUAAGCCGAUAAUCGAGUGCAUCUAGCUGAAAAUUCCCUGGAGUAGAAACACAGGCUAAAAGUCACGCAUUGGAAAAAUAUGGUGCAUACGUGUGUGCUACGCUGCGCAAGAGUGUUGAUCUACUUCAGCACAAUGCUGGGAUUAUGUUUCUGUCAGCACCAUAAACACGUACGGCUGGCUGUACAUUCUUAAACGACGCGUGUCGUCACAGCGUGAACAAAAACGCAGCUAUGACUGUUGGUCUUUACCGGAACGUCAGCAAAAGAAUAUGGCGGGAUCAGCCGGGAGUUCCUUAUAAUCAGUAUCUUUGGCUUUGGCUCAGAAGUUUUAUAAAUGGCUAGCCUGCACGAAAUCUGUAGGUUAAAUGACAUAGAUCGUCAUUGUUCCGGAAUAGAGACAAGUAAUCCCUGUGUCGGCCUCAAGACCGAUGAUUGCGUAUCCAUUACCAAAUAAGAUGAGGCCAAAUGUGGCGCGAUAGUUACCAUUGUCUAAAUCAUAACGUCGCCCUUCUGAAUCCAAAAGCCGAGAGCAAAGCGAUGCAUUUUCAAACAGCUAGGUUUCAUCGAUAUAUGUCGACAUGCAACAAUGGUU
Molecule: non-coding RNA, 1544 nt
Organism: Dermacentor albipictus
Lineage: Eukaryota; Metazoa; Arthropoda; Arachnida; Ixodida; Ixodidae
Source: RefSeq, a predicted model, not a curated record